UUUCUCUCCAUCCCACUUUUUAGUUGUUCCAAGUUUUUAUUCCAUUAACUUCAUCCAUUAUUGCCUUCUUCAAAACAGAAAUCAUAGAUCUUUCUUCGACUUCCCGUUUUCCCUCUAUACAACAGAUGCAAAAUGAAAUAAUAUCUAAGAAACUAUGCGUACCACUGAGAAUUACAGCAAAAGCUUGGCUUCAAUCUAUAGAGAUGAGGCUUUUGCAAAAAUCUUUUUUUAUACAGUUUAUUUCGACAUUUUUGAUUGUUAGUGUCUUUUUUAUUUCCCUUGGAGUUGUCAUCUCAGAUUCCAUGUUGGGCCCGGCUUCCUAAAAUCUCAUCUCAGAUGCAUAGAUCGAACCCGACUCUUUCACUUCGUCGUCAGAGUCUCGGUUCUCUGUAAUAGCUGUUACAGCUACAUCCUCCUUUCUAGCAUUAUAUAAACUCCUACACCAAAUCUUUCCUCACGCACAAUCCUCAAUCUCCAAACAAGCAUAACAGCUGAUGACGAUGAAAUUGGAGUUGAGAUCGCCAUGAGGGUGGUUAGAUUCGCCAAGGGCUUGAGCGCUGUGACGAUGUUGAGUUUAGUCCAGAAGCUUCGUAAGGUAUGGAUUUUGAUAUGUGUAAUAAAUUUGAAGCUUCUGGUACGGUUUAAGGUGUGAUGGUCCACUUUCUACAAUAGAAGAACGUCAAACUUUUUCCUUCUUUCGACCACUCUAUUUAUAGUUUGACCAUUCUAAUUAUAGUGUUUUCACUUUGUUGUAGAAUCUUCAGGUUGAUUAAGGAUUAGAUUCAAUAUAAUCAUUGUUUUAUUGAGAAUAAGAUUUACUUAAAUUUUCAGGUAUUCGCUUUGGGGAAAAAAUUGCAAGUAGAGAUGAUGAAGCUUUUGCAUAUGUUCAUAACUUCAUCAAAACCAGUGAUGGAUAUUCUGCUGAUAACGACAAUUGGAUUUUAUAUCGCUCUUGAUGGAGUCAAUCUUCUUGGUCAUGGUGCUCACAAAUAUUUGAACAACGUUGGUUACUACUUAAUUUCACUCUUUUUGUUAAUAAAUCUAAUAUACCACUCAACUUUAGUUUAAUUAGUUUUUUCGGUAAAGACAAAGAAGGUCUACUUAGAGAUCCUGAGAAUUGCCACAAAUAUGGAAUGGGUUAUGUCUCACUCUGCAUGGCCGCUUACUAUGUUGGAAAAGGAAUCGUGAAUCGCUUGAGAAACAAGGGAUGAAUUGCUAUAACAAGGUUUUGCUCGUGUGUAGUCAUUUGGCUUCUGGUGAGAAAGGUGACAAGAUGAGAAGAAACACAGAUGUAGCUGAGAUUCUAUUUUAUACACCAUUCCCAAAAACACCUAAAUCCCUAAUUGUUGCGCACCCGAAAGAAUUGUUGAUCAAGACCGAGUGCUUUGGCUUGGAGAUUUAAAUUACAGAGUUCCUUUACCUAUGAAGAGACAUGGGUAUUACUAGAAGACAAUGAUUUGUGACACACUUCUUGAGAAAGACCAGUUAACCAAAUUUUGUGAUCUGUGAUAACUUCAGCUCAACAUGAAAAGAGGGCCAUGAAGAGUCUUCUCUCGAUUUCAAGAAGUUAAAUCAUAUUUGCUCCAACCUAUAAAAAGUCUCAAAACUCAGAUGCUUACGCCGGAGAAGCCACUAAGUCUAAGAAAAGAAAACAACUAUGUAGUUGUUAUAAAUGUGAUAAACACAAAGAUGAUUAUCCAUUAGACUAGUAUUAAAUUAUUUGAUUUCUCCUAGUUGGUAAGUCACAACAGACUUACU
Brassica oleracea var. oleracea is the source of this 1758-nucleotide long non-coding RNA. RefSeq lists it as uncharacterized. The record is from RefSeq and is a predicted model, not a curated record. The transcript is spliced from 7 exons. NCBI's taxonomy places the organism in Eukaryota, Viridiplantae, Streptophyta, Magnoliopsida, Brassicales, Brassicaceae.